GAUAAACGCUGGCGGCGUGCUUCAGGCAUGCAAGUCGAACGGACCUUCGGGUCAGUGGCGGACGGGUGAGUAACGCGUUAGUAACCUGCCCAGAAGUGGGGAAUAACUUGCCGAAAGGCGAGCUAAUACCGCAUGUGAUGGCAUUUCCACGGAGAGGUCAUCAAAGGCUUCGGUCGCUUUUGGAGGGGCUUGCGUUCGAUUAGUUAGUUGGUGGGGUAAUGGCCUACCAAGACUUCGAUCGAUAGCUGGUCUGAGAGGAUGGUCAGCCACACGGGGACUGAGAUACGGCCCCGACUCCUACGGGAGGCUG
Molecule: ribosomal RNA, 310 nt
Filed under: uncultured Chloroflexota bacterium
Lineage: Bacteria; Bacillati; Chloroflexota
Description: bacterial SSU rRNA
Rfam family: Bacterial small subunit ribosomal RNA
Source: RNAcentral